This is a long non-coding RNA of Hippoglossus stenolepis (Pacific halibut), 559 nucleotides long. RefSeq lists it as uncharacterized. The transcript has 4 exons. The record is from RefSeq and is a predicted model, not a curated record. Lineage: Eukaryota; Metazoa; Chordata; Actinopteri; Pleuronectiformes; Pleuronectidae.
CUUUAAUGGUCCUCAGCCAUGCUGCUUUUUACUGAACCAGGAAGUGACCUGCUCCAUGAUCACAGAUCUUGUGGGCUGCGUCUCUCACAGACCGUUUGGGCAACCUUGCCAACCGGGAGAUCAAACGCCACGGCGAUGAGUGGUUCCUGUGAUCACCGCGGAUACGUGUUUGUGUUUUCCGUGUGUCCACAUGUGCGACUGUCUGCCGCUGAGUGUCUCCCGAGGCUCUUUUCUGAUAGACCACCACUGGGCGUUGUGGAGAUGAAAGGAAUGCUGGGAACUCAUCUCACGCUAUGAAUCCUGGCUUCCUGUGUAGAGCGUCGUCCAAACAGCUUCACAGUCGAUGCUGCUCCCCGCUCUGGUCCUGAGAAACGCACCUGCCAUGAUGCAGUCGGGUCCCCUCCCCGCUACGAUAGUGUGUGUUGACGUAUUUAAUGAAAGCUAUUAAGGAAAAUAUUCAUUGACAACUGGGUAAAAAGUAACAAUUCAAAAUGAGAACUGUGGUGAAAUGUAUGAAAUUUCCCGUCAACGAAUAAAAACGAAUCGAUAAUGAUACAGA